Molecule: non-coding RNA, 30207 nt
Organism: Callithrix jacchus (white-tufted-ear marmoset)
Lineage: Eukaryota; Metazoa; Chordata; Mammalia; Primates; Cebidae
Source: RefSeq, a predicted model, not a curated record
CCGAGGCCCUUCGCUGCUCGCGGCUAGCUGUCAUCCUCCCGGCGGCCGGGGGCGCCCUGCGGUCCUCCAGUGCCGGAGCUGGGCCGGCCUGGAGCCGCCCCGCCCACGGCCGAGGUUUCGAUUUCCCGUGUGAGCCCCGCCCCGUGCCCCGGGAGCCCGAGGCGGCGGGGAUGAAUGGCGGGUGCGGCGGCUGCGAACCUGACCCCUGGGGGAUCGGAGCUCGUCGAGGGAUGCGGCUGGCGCUGCCCGGAGCACGACGACCGCGUGACCGAGCUCUUCUGUCGCAGCUGCCGCCGCUGCGUGUGCGCGCUUUGCCCGGUGCUGGGCGCGCACCGCGGCCACCGGGUGGACCUGGCGUUGGAGGCGGCGGUACACGUGCAGAAACUCACCCAAGAAUGUUUAAAGCAGCUGGCAAUCAAGAAGCAGCAGCACAUUGACAACAUAACCCAGAUAGAAGACGCCACUGAGAAGCUCAAGGCUCAUGCAGAGUCAAGUAAAACCUGGCUGAAGGGGAUAUUCACUGAACUCAGAUUACUACUUGAUGAAGAGGAAGCAGUGGCCAAGAAAUUCAUUGAUAAAAACACACAGCUUGCCCUCCAGGUGUACAGGGAACAAGCUGACUCUUGCAAAGAGCAACUUGACAUCACAAACGAUCUCUCCAACAGGGUCUGGAGUAUUGGCCAGGAGCCCGAUCCUGUCCAGAGGCUUCAGGCAUACACAGCAGCUGAGCAGGAGAUGCAGCAGCAGAUGAGCCUCGGGGAGUUGUGCCACCCUGUGCCCGUCUCCUUUGAGCCCAUCAGGAGCUACUAUAAAGGUCUUGUGGAAGCCAUGCAGAGUACACUACAGACGACACUGGACAUUCGCCUUAAGAAAAACAUGAACUGCCAGCUCUCAGGCCCUUCCAGCACCAAGCCAGGUACCUUGUUGAAAACCAGCCCAUCACCAGAGCGAUCCCUCUUCCUAAAAUACGCGCGCACGCCCACGCUGGAUCCGGACACGAUGCACGCGCGCCUUCGCCUGUCUGCAGACCGCCUGACUGUGCGCUGUGGCCUUCUGGGCAGCCUGGGGCCCGUGCCCGCACUGCGGUUCGACGCACUCUGGCAGGUGCUGUCUCGUGACUGCUUCGCCGCUGGCCGCCACUACUGGGAAGUGGACGUGCAGGAGGCUGGCGCCGGCUGGUGGGUGGGCGCGGCCUACGCCUCCCUGCGGCGCCGCGGGGCCUCAGCCGCCGCUCGCCUGGGCUGCAACCGCCAGUCCUGGUGCCUCAAGCGCUACGACCUUGAGUACUGGGCCUUCCACGACGGCCAGCGCAGCCGCCUGCGGCCCCGCGACGAUCUCGACCGGCUCGGCGUCUUCCUGGACUACGAGGCCGGCGUCCUCGCCUUCUACGACGUGACGGGUGGCAUGAGCCACCUGCACACCUUUCGCGCUACCUUCCAGGAGCCGCUCUACCCGGCCCUGCGUCUCUGGGAGGGGGCCAUCAACAUCCCGCGGCUGCCCUAGGGGCCAGGACCAGCAUGACAGUCUCCAGGGUCUCACUCUGUCGCCAAGGCUGGAGUGCAGUGGCAUGAUCACGGCUCACUACAACCUCCAUCUCCUGGGUUCAAGUGAUUCUCCUACCUCAGCCUUCCAAGUAGCUGGGACUACAGGUGUGCACCACCAUGCCCAGCUAAUUAUUGUAUUUUUAGUAGAGACGGGGUUUCAUCACAUUGGCCAAGCUGGUCCUGAACUCCUGGCCUUAGGCAAAACACCUGCCUCAGCUUCCCAAAGUGCUGGGACUACAGGCAUGAGCCACCGCACCUGGCCUUAGGUGGGGUUUAAUGAAGGAUUAGGAGGGUUAGGCAACAAAAACCUUGAAAAUCAGGCUUAAGGAUGUGGGAUAGAGUAUGGAUUGCUAAGUUUGGAAAUCCAAACCACUGUGUCAUGCAUGAGCUAGGCCCAAGACUGGGUAGGCUGGCAAAAUACCGCAACGCGCGUGGUGUCAAGAGAGAGCACAAGAGCAGCUUGAGUGGGGACAGAAAGGAAAGGGUGGCUACGAUAUGCUGAAAAGGAAAAUAUCUGGAGUCACGUGUACUAAACUGUUUAUUAUCAAAAUCUCUGGGUUGGGAGUGCAGGGGAUGUUUACUUUCGACAUUGUGUGUUUCAGAGUUAAUAAUAAGUGAUAUUUAAUUUUAAAAAAUAACCAUUUAGAUAAGCUAUAAGCGAAGCAAAAACAGGUUUGGGAGGGACAAAGUUUAGGUGAGAAGAGACCAAUGUCAGUUUUCAAAAAGGCUAACUUUUGAAAGUUAAAGACCGUAUAGAAAUAUGUAAGAAAGCUUAUAUUGGCCAGGCGCGGUGGCUCAAGCCUGUAAUCCCAGCACUUUGGGAAGCCGAGGUGGGUGGAUCACGAGGGUCAAGAGAUUGAGACCAUCCUGGUCAACAUGGUGAAACCCCGUCUCUACUAAAAAUACAAAAAAAUUAGCUGGGCAUGGUGGCGCGUGCCUGUAAUCCCAGCUACUCAGGAGGCUGAGGCAGGAGAAUUGCCUGAACCCAGGAGGCGGAGGUUGCGGUGAGCUGAGAUCGCGCCAUUGCACUCCAGCCUGGCUAACGAGCGAAACUCCGUCUCAAAAAAAAAAAAAAAAAGCUUAUAGUAGGGGAAAAAACAAUGUCAAAUACUGUACUGAAAGGAAAAUAUAAAAGGAAAACAACUGCAAUAUCAGUAAUGCAGCAUGUUGACAGAGAAAAAAAAACUGCAUAUCAGAAUUAUGUGUGGAUAGAUUUCCAUUAAUGUUACUAUAAUGGUUUUAAUGAUAAUUACAUAUAUAUUUUUGAACAAAGUUAAAUUUCCAGUGCUACAGGAAGAACUGAUAGAGAUGGUGUGAGAUAAUAAGAGACAAAGAACUAGGAGAACAUGCCCAGGUUGUAGUUCCAGCUUUGCCACAAGCUGCUGUGGGAUCUCAGGCUUCCCCACUUGGGACUGGACUUCACCAUCUGUGAAAUGACUGAGUAGGCAAAAUCCUAGGAGAGAGUAAUCUCCCUUAGGGCUGUCACUGUCAGAAUUAGAAAAUAAGAGCUAGCAAAUGACAAAGCAGAAAAAGCCAGAAGUUUCUAGAAGGCCUCCUAUAACUCAGUAUGAAAAAAGACGGAUAUUUAUCUGUACACUAGUGUUCGUAGCACCAUCACUCACAAUAGUCAAAAGGUAAAAUCAUCCCAAAUGUCUGUUGACGAGUAGUUUUUGUUUGUUUCGUUUUGUUUUUUUCUGAGAUAGGGUCUCACCCUGUCACCCAGGCUGGAGUGCAGUGGCAUGAUCUUGACUCACUACAACCUCUGCCUCCUGAAUUCAAGUGAUUCUCCUGCCUCAGCCUCCCGAAUAGCUGAGACCACAGCUUAUGAUCCAGUGAUUCCUUACCAAUGUCCUGAGUCUUGUUGAUGAAUCCUAGAGAAGGAUGUUGAAGCGCCCUAAAUAGGUAAGCUCAAGCAGUGACCAAUUAAGAUUGGUUUUAAGAAAGUUUUUCUUUCUUUCGUUUUUUGAGAGAGUCUCAGUCUGUUGCUCAGGCUGGAGUGCAGUGGCACGAUCUCAGCUCACUGCAACCUCCGCCUUCUGGGUUCAAGCGAUUCUCCUGCCUCAGCCUCCUAAGUAGCUCAGCCUCCCAAGUAGCUGGGACUUCAGGCAUGUGCCAUGAUUCCUGGCUAAUAUUUGUAUUUUUUAGUAGACACAGGGCUUCACCAUAUUGGGCAGGCUGGUCUCAAACUCCUGACCUCGUGAUUCACCCGUCUUGGCCUCCCAAAGUGCUAGCAUUACAGGCAUGAGCCACCGCACCCGGCCGAGAAAAUUUCACUUAUUGUCACCCUCUUUUGAAUGUAUGUGCUUCCUCAACUGCUUAGUUCUAAUUUGAUUUGAUAACAGCAAGACUGUCAGAGGAUGUUCAAAUUAUAAAGUAUGCCAUGGUUUAUUAGAAUUGUUUAUAAAAAUGACUACGUCUUCCACAUAGUAAACAGCCCAAGAAGGGACCCCCCUUCCCUCCUGCUCACCGGGAUGACCCGCAGGUUGACAUCCUCAGGCUGGAGUGGGUACGCGCUGGUACACUGCAAGAAGCAGAAGUUGGGGUUGAGGGGCUUCACGAUCUGAUAGACUUGCUUCAUGGUGUCCAUCGACUGCAUCCCGCUGGAGAUCACCAUUGGGCGACCUGAGUAACCCAGUACCAACACCAUCAGCACUGUCUCUUUAGAGGUUCUGAUUCUCCCCAACACAUCCCAACUGCUGGUCUCAUCAUUCAGCUGAACUCCACAAACAUCUCUUAAAACACUGUGCCAGCCACUGUGGGGGAACAGAGAGGAGCUUGUUGGGUUCCUGCCCUCGGCCACAGGAGAGGCACAGUGGCUCACAGCUGUAAUCCCAAAACUUUGGAGGUCAGAAGAGGAUCACCUGAAUCUAGGAAUUCAAGACCAACCUGGGCAACAGAGAGACCUUGUCGCUAUUAAAAAAUUUUUUUUCGUGGGAGGGAUCCAAGAUGGCCCAUUAGGAGCAGCUCUGGAUAGCAGCUUCCAGCAAGAGUACGAAGGGUGAGGGGAUGCCGCAUUCCAGAUGGAUUUUUCUUUCUUUUUUGAGACGGAGUUUCGCUCUUGUUACACAGACUGGCGUGCAAUGGCACGAUCUCAGCUCACCACAACCUCCGCCUCCUGGGUUCAAGCGAUUCUCCUGCUUCAGCUUCCCAAGUAGCUGGGACUACAAGCACACACCACCAUGCCCAGCUAAUUUUUGUAUUUUUAGUAGAGAUGGGGUUUCACCAUGUUGACCAGGAUGGUUUUGAUCUCUUGACCUCGUGAUCCACCUGCCUCAGCCUCCCAAAGUGCUGGGAUUAUAGGUGUGAGCCACCACGCCCAGCCCCAGAUGGAUUUUUAUUGCCCACAGACCAGUAGAUUCCUGGGCGGAGGAACACCUCAGGUCGUCAGCGCAGCUGUUUUGCCGUCACGGCCGGUCUCCGCACAAUACUCACAUGGGUCUGGGCACCAUUUUAGCUGAAGACCGGAGCACCUGGGAGACAGUCACCUGUUCAACUGAUAAAAAGGGGACUGAAACAGGGAGCCAGGCCAGGAGAUUCCCAGGCAAAAAAGCGCCAUGAAUCUUCAGCGCGGCUGUUUCAGCUGGCACAGUGGGUCACUGCACAGGAAAUCACACAGAUCUGGGUGCCUUUUCAACAGGUGACUGGGAAGGACUGAGAGAGUUGCCCGUUCAACUGAAAAAAAAGGAGGGACUGAAACAGGAUGCCAGGCCAGGAGAUUCCCUGGUGAAAAAGUGCCACGAGCCCCCAGUGUGGCUGUUUCAGCCGGCACAGCAGGUCUCUGCACAAAAUCUCACACAAAUCCGGGUACCUUUUCAUCUGGCAACUGGAACACCUGAGAGACAGUCACCCGUUCAACUGAAAAAAAAAGGGGAGGACUGAAAUAGGGAGCCAGGCCAGGAGACUCCCCGGCGAAAAAGUGCCAUGAGUCUCCAGCAGCUGUUUCAGCCGGUGCAGCGGGUCUCCACAUAAGAAAUCACACAAAUCCAGGUGCCAUUUCAACUGGUGACUGGAACGCCUGGGAGAUAGUCACCCGUUCAACUUCAUCAUCAACAAACUGGAUGUCCACUCAGAGACCCCAUCUGAAAGUCACCAACUACAAAGACCACAGGUAAAUAAAUCCAUGAAGAUGGGAAGAAACCAGUGCAAAAAGGAUGAAAACACCCAAAACCAGAACGUCUCUCCUCCUACAAGGGAUCACAACUCCUCACCAGCAGGGGAACAAGACUGGAUGGAGAAUGAGUGAUGAAUUGACAGAAUCAGAAUUCAGAAAGUGGAUAAUAAGAAACUUCUCUGAGCUAAAAGAACAUGUUCUAACCCAAUGAAAAGAAACUAAGAACCUUGAAAAAAGGUUUGACGAAAUGCUAACGAGAAUAAACAGCUUAGAGAGGAAUAUAAAUGAAUUGAUGGAGCUGAAAAACAACAUGAGAACUUUGCAAAGCAUACACAAGUUUCAGUAGCAGAAUUGACCAAGCAGAAGAAAGGCUAUCAGAGGUCAAAGAUCAACUCAGUGAAAUAAAACGAGAAGGCAAGAUUAGAGAAAAAAAGGGUAAAAAGAAAUGAACAAAGCCUCCAAGAAAUAUGGGACUAUGGGAAAAGACCUAAUCUACAUUUGAUAGGUGUACCUGAAUGUGACGGAGAGAAUGAAUCCAAGCUGGAAAAUACUCUUCAGAAUAUUAUCCAGGAAAACUUCUCUAAUCUAGCAAGGCAGGCCAUUAUUCAAGUCCAGGAAAUACAGAGAACACCACAAAGACAUUCCUCAAGAAGAGCAACCCCAAGGCACAUAAUCAGCAGAUUCACCAGGGUUGAAAUGAAGGAGAAAAUGCUAAGGGCAGCCACAGAGGAAGGCCGGGUUACCCACAAAGGGAAGCCAUCAGACUCACAGCGGAUCUCUCAGCAGAAACCCUACAAACCAGAAGAGUGGGAGCCAAUACUCAACAUCCUUAAAGAAAAGAACUUUUUUUCCCCUCUCUCUUUUUUUUUUUUUUUUUAAAGAUGGGGUUUUACCAUGAUGGCCAGGCUGGUCUUGAACUCCUGACCUCAGGUGAUCCACCACCUCGGCCUCCCAAAGUGCUAGGAUUACAGGCAUGAGCCACCACGCACGGCCAAGAAAAGAACUUUCAACCCAGAAUUUCACAUCCAGCCAAACUAAGCUUCAUAAGCAAAGGAGAAAUAAAAUCCUUUACAAACAAGCAAUUACUCAGAGAUUUCAUCACCACCAGACCUACUUUACAAGAGCUCCUGAAAGAAGCACUAAACAUAGAAAGGAACAACCAGUACCAGCCACUCCAAAAACACACCAAAUGGUAGAGCAUCGAUACAAUGAAGAAACUGCAUCAACUAAUGGGCAAAACAACCAGCUAGCAUCAAAAUGGCAGGAUCAAAUUCACACAUAACAGUAUUAACCCUAAAUGUAAAUGAACUAAACACCCCAAUCAAAAGACACAGACUGGCCAAUUGAAUAAAAAGCCAAAACCCAUCGGUGUGCUGUAUCCAGGAAACCCAUCUCACAUGCAAGGAUACACAAAGGCUCAAAAUAAAGGGAUGGAGGAAGAUUUACCAAGCAAAUGGAGAGCAAAAAAAAAGCAGGAGUUGGAAUUCCUGUCUCUGAUAAAACAGACUUUAAACCAACAAAGAUCAAAAGAGACAAAGAAGGACAUUAUAUAAAGGUAAAAGGAUCAAUGCAACAAGAAGAGCUAACGAUCCUAAAUAUAUACACACCCAUACAGGAGCACCCAGAUACAUAAAGCAAGUUCUUAAUGACCUACAAAGAGACUUUAGACUCCCACACAAUAAUAGUGGGAGACUUCAACACCCCAUUGUCAAUAUUAGACAGAUCAACCAGACAGAAAAUUAACAAGGAUAUCCAGGACUUGAACUCAGACCUGGACCAAGCAAACCUAAUAGACAUUUACAGAACUCUCCACCCCAAAUCCACAGAAUAUACAUUCUUCUCAGCACCACAUCACACCUACUCUACAAUUGACCAUAUAACUGGAAGUAAAUCACUCCUCAGCAAAUGCAAAAGAAUGGAAAUCAUAACGAACAGUGUCUCAGACCAUAGUGCAAUCAAAUUAGAACUCAGAAUUCAGAAGCAAAGAGAGAACCACAGAACUUCAUGGAAACUGAACAACUAACUGGCUCUUGAAUGUUGACUGGAUAAACAAACGAAGGCAGAAAUAAAGAUCUUCUUCAAAAUCAGCUAGAACGAAGACACAACAUUUAAAGCAGUAUCUAGAGGAAAAUAUAUAGCAAUAAAUGCCCACAGGAGAAGCAAGGAAAGAUCCAAAAUUGACACCCUGUCAUCAAAAUUGAAAGAGCUAGAGAAGCAAGAUCAAAAAAACUCAAAACCUAGCAGAAGACAAAAAAUAACUAAGAUCAGAGCAGAACUGAAGGAGACAGAGACACAACUGUUCAAAAAAAUAAAUCCAGGAGCUGGUUUUUCCAAAAGAUCAACAAAACAGACGGAUCACUAGCCAGAUUAAUAAAAAAGUAAAGAGAGAAUAAUCAAAUAGAUGCAAUAAAAAACAAUAAAGGGGAUAUCACCACUGAUUCCACAGAAAUACAAACCAUGAGAGAUUUUACAGACAACUCUGCACAUCAACUAGUAAACCUGGAAGAAAUGGAUAAAUUCCUGGACACUUGCAUCCUCCCAAGCCUAAACCAGGAAGAAGUUGAAACCCUGAAUAGACCAAUGACAAAGGCUGAAGUUGAGGCAGCAAUUAAUAGCCUACCAACCAAGAAAAGCCCAGGUCCAGAUGGGUUCACAGCUGAAUUCUACCAGACAAACAAAGAGGAGCCUGGUACCAUUCCUUCUGAAACUAUUCCAAACAAUCCAAAAAGAAGGAAUCCUUCCCAAAUUAUUUUACGAGACCAACAUCAUCCUGAUACCAAAACCCGACAGAGACUUAACAAGAAAAGAAAACUUCAGGCCAAUAUCCAUGAUGAAAAUAGAGGCAUAAAUCUUCAAUAAAAUACUGGCAAACCGACUGCAACAGCACAUCAAAAAGCUUAUCCACCAUGAUCAAGUAGGCUUCAUCCUGGCGAUGCAAGGCUGGUUCAACAUAUGCAAGUCUAUAAACGUAAUUCACCACAUAAACAGAACCAAAGACAAAAACCACGUGAUUAUCUCAAUAGAUGCAGAGAAGGCCUUUGACAAAAUUCAACAGCCCUUUAUGCUAAAAACUCUCAAUAAACUAGGUAUUGAUGGAACAUAUCUCAAAAUAAAAGCUAUUUACGACAAACCCACAGCCAAUAUCAUAUUGAAUGGGCAAAAACUGGAAGCAUUCCCUUUGAAAUCUGGCACAAGACAAGGAUGUCCUCUCUCACCGCUCCUAUUCAAUACAUUAUUGGAAGUUCUAGCCAGAGGAAUCAGGCAAGAAAAAGAAAUAAAGCGUAUUCAAUUAGGAAAGGAGGAAGUCAAAUUGUUUCUAUUUGCAGACAACAUGAUUGUAUAUUUAGAAGACCCCAUUGUCUCAGCCUAAAAUCUCCUGAAAAUGAUAAGCAACUUCAGCAAAGUCUCGGGAUACAAAAUCAAUGUGCAGAAAUCACAAGCAUUCCUAUACAUUAAUAACAGACUUAAAGAGAGCCAAAUCAAGAACAAACUGCCAUUCACAAUUGCUACAAAGAGAACAAAAUACCUAGGAAUACAACAAAGAAUGUAAAGGACCUCUUCCAGGAGAACUACAAAGCACUGCUCAACAAAAUAAGAGAGGACACAAACAGAUGGAGAAACAUUCCAUGCUCAUGGUUAGGAAGAAUCAAUAUAAUGAAAAUGGCCAUACUGCCCAAAGUAAUUUACAGAUUCAAUGCUAUCUCCAUCAAGCUACUGAUGGCCUUCACAGAACUGGAAAAUAAACCACCUUAAACUCCAUAUGGAACCAAAACAGAGCCUGCAUAGCCAAGUCAAUUCUAAGCAAAAAGAACAAAGCUGGAGGCAUCACACUACUGGACUUCAAACUAUACUACAAGGCUACAGUAAUCAAAACAGCAUGGUACUGGUACCAAAACAGAGAUAUAGACCAAUGGAACAGAACAGAGGCCUCGGAGGCAAUGCCACACAUCUACAACCAUCUGAUCUUUGACAAAUCUGACAAAAACAAGCAAUGGGGAAAGGACUCCCUAUUUAAUAAAUGGUGUUGGGAAAACCAGCUAGCCAUGUGCAGAAAACAUAAACUGGACCCCUUCCUGACAUCUUACACUAAAAUUAACUCCAGAUGGAUUAAAGACUUAAACAUAAGACCUAACACCAUAAAAACCCUAGAAGAAAACCUAGGCAAAACCAUUCAGGACAUAGGCACAGGCAAGGACUUCAUGACUAAAACACCAAAAGCACUGGCAACAAAAGCCAAAAUAGACAAAUGGGACCUAAUCAAACUCCAUAGCUUUUGCAUAGCAAAAGAAACAGUCAUUAGAGUGAAUUGGUAACCAGCAGAAUGGGAAAAAGUUUUUUGCAAUCUACCCAUCUGACAAAAAGCUAAUAUCCAGAAUCUAUAAAGAACUAAAACAGAUUUACAAGAAAAAACCAAACAAGCCCAUUCAAAAGCAGGUAGAGGAUAUGAACAGACACUUUACAAAAGAAGACAUAAAUGAGGCCAACAAACACAUGAAAAAAUGCUCAUCAUCACUGGUCAUUAGCGAAAUGCAAAUCAAAACUACAUUGAGAUAUCAUCUCAUGCCAGAAUGGCAAUCAUUAAAAAAUCUGGAGACAACAGAUGGUGGAGAGGAUGUGGAGAAAUAGGAACACUUUUACACUGCUGGUGGGAGUGUAAACUAGUUCAACCAUUGUGGAAGACAGUGUGGCAGUUCCUCAAGGACCCAGAAAUAGAAAUUCCAUUUGACCCAGCAAUCCCAUUACUGGGUAUAUAGCCAAAGGAUUAUAAAUCGUUCUAUUGUAAGGACACAUGCAGAUGAAUGUUCACUGCAGCACUGUUUACAUUAGCAAAGACUUGGAACCAACCCAAAUGCACAUUGAUGAUAGACUGGACAGGGAAAAUGUGACACUUAUACACCAUGGAAUACUAUGCAGCCAUCAAAAACGAUGAGUUUGUGUCCUUUUUAGGGACACGGAUGAACCUGGAAACCACCUUUUUUUUAAAAAAUAGAGACAGGGUUUUGCUAUGUUGGCCAGGCUGGUCUUGAACUUUUGGCCUCAAGCAAUCCUCCCAUCUUGGCCUCCCAAUAUGCUAGGAUUACAGGCAUGAGCCACUGUGCCCUGCCAGAACCUCUUUCCUUUUCUUUCUUUUUUUUUUAGAUGGAGUCUCACUUUGUCACCAGGCUGGAGUGCAGUGGUGCGAUCUCAGCAAACUGACACAAGAACAGAAAAUCAAACACUGCAUGUUCUCACUCAUAGGGGAGUGUUGAACAAUGAGAACACAUGGACACAGGGAGCGGAGCAUCACAUGCUGUCUAUUAGGGGUAACUAGGGGAGGGACAGUGGGCAGUGGGGAGUUGGGGAGAGAUAACAUGGGGAGAAAUGCCAGAUAUAGGUGAUGUAAAGGCAGCAAACCACACUGCCUUCUGUGCACCUAUGCAACAAUCUUACAUGUUCUUCACAUGUACCCCAAAACCUAAGAUGCAAUAAUAUAUAUUUUUUUAAUUUUUUUCUUAAAUUUUUUAGUGUCUUAUAAAAACUGUUAUAUCCUUAAUUUUCUUUCAACUUUGCACACAAAAAGUGGAAGCACAGGCUGAUUGAAAAGAGGUUUCUGCGGCCAGGCGUGGUGGCUCAUGCCUGUAAUCCCAGUGCUUUGGGAGGCCAAGGUGGGUGGAUCAUGAGGUCAAGAGAGCCAGACCAUCCUGGCCAAGAAGGUGAAACCCCAUCUGUACUAAAAAUAUACAAAUUAGCUGGGCAUGGUGGCACACACCUGUAGUCCCACAGUUACUCAGGAGGCUGAGGCAGGAGAAUCGCUUGAACCCAGGAGGCAGAGAUUGCAGUGAGCAGAGAUCGCACCACUGCACUCCAGCCUGGUGACAAAGUGAGACUCCAUCUAAAAAAAAAAGAAAGAAAAGGAAAGAGGUUCUGGCAGGGCACAGUGGCUCAUGCCUGUAAUCCUAGCAUGUUGGGAGGCCAAGAUGGGAGGAUUGCUUGAGGUCAAAAGUUCAAGACCAGCCUGGCCAACAUAGCAAAACCCUGUCUCUAUUUUUUAAAAAAAAUUUAAAGAGGCUUCUAAAAUUUGUCUUCAUGAAAUCUGCCUCAAAGUGGGCCACCAUGAGGGGAGUAAAAAUAUGAAGAAGGUUUGGACUCCCUUGGAUUUUACGUCAAAAAUUAGACACCUGAGUCACAGCACCAUAAUAAAAAUUAAAAAAUAAAAAUUAGACACUUACCUUUUUUGGCUGUCUUUUCCAGAUAAGGAAAAUUAUUAGUAUCUCCAGAUCCAACUUUGAAAAAUGGAACAUUCAGUUCAUGUAGGAAUUCAACUGCCAUCUACAAAAAUUAAAGAGGGAGCUCCUUUUCACCCUUGUUCAAAAACACUAUUGUCAUGACAGGUGAGGAAUAAAUGUUAUUCAGAAACAGAAAAAUCCCUCCUUAUAUGCAGUAGAGGGACUCUCAACAACUUGAAAGUGGGCAAAGAUUCAUUCUCAGUCAUUGCAUUCAAACUUGAACAUUUAAUUCACAUCCACCCAUCCAUUAGUCCAAUAAACAUUUGGUGCUGGUCUUUGCUGGCUACAAGAAUCUGGAAAAGGGCGGGGUAUGGUGGCUCAGGCCUGUAAUCCCAGGACUUUAGGAGACCAAGGUGGGCAGAUCCCGAGGUCAGGAGUUCAAGACCAGCCUGACCAACAAAGUGAAACCCCAUCUCUACUAAAAAUACAAAAGGUAUCUGGGAAUGGUGGUACACAUCUGUAAUUCCAGCUACUCAGGAGACUGAGGCAGGGGAAUCACUUGAACCCGGGAGGUGGAGUUUGCAGUGAGCAGAGAUUGUGCCACUGCACUCCAGCCUGGAUGACAGAGCGAGACUCCAGCUCAAAAAAAAAAAAGAAUCUGGAAAACAAUCAUUCCCCUGGCCAGACCCUGCCUGCCCCAGGAACCCAAGGCCCAAUGAACAAACAUGAACCGGUCAUGACCUAAUCUUGACCCAGAAAACUAGGCAGUGAGAAAGUGAAUAGUCUCAAAGACUUUCCCCUCAGGGCCAAAAAAGCAGGAAAAGGGGCUAUUUCAAUCCUUUGCGAAAGGGGGAAAAUGAAGCAUUUUUCCCCCCAGCCUUGACAGAGAUCAUGGCUGGCAGGGCCCAUUCAGCCCAAGCCCUUUCAGGCCUCAAACGACGCUACCCUCAGAAAAGUGAACCUCAGUCACUUUUUUCAGCUAUAACAUCACUGCUUGAGGUUACCUAUUUAGGGCACGGCACUUCAACAUCCUUCUAUAGGAUUCAUCAACAAGACUCAGGAAAUUGGUCAAUGUCAGCAAAUGCUUGCUAAAGGAAUUACUGGAUCACAAGUUGUAAGAAAAUCUCAGUUUGCUGUCAAAUUAUAAAACUCAAAAACUUUAUUACCACUUCCUUCUAGCUUCAAUAAGGUAUAAUUGAUAUACCAAAACUGCAUAUAAUAGAUGUAAUUUGGCGAGUUUGGACUUAAGUGUACAUCACUGCUACCAUCACCACAGUGUAAUAAACAUACACAACACCUUCAAGUGUUCUUGAGUCCUACUGUUUUGAAGUUGGAAAUCAAAAGUGGCAAAAAAAAACAAUGUCUGUGAAUGGUUCCAAAUAUCUUAGUUCUAUCCUAAAAUGAUGCCUGUGACUCAGAAAUAAGUUAGGGCUUAGUGAGUUUCUCACACUUGAUCAUGUGCGCACAGAUCUCUCCCUCUCCCAGGGAUCUUGCUAAAAUGAAAUGCAUAUUCUGAUUUGAUUGGCAUAGGACGAGACCUGAAAGCCUGUAUUUUUUUCUUUCUUUUCUUUUCUCUCCUUUCUUUCUUUUUCUUUCCUUUUCCUUUUAUUUCUUGACAAUGUCUCAUUAUGUUGCCCAGGGUGGUCUGGAAUGCCUGGGCUCAAGGGAUCCUCCUGCCUCAGCCUCUGAAAGUGCUGGGAUUACAGGCGUGAGCCACCACACCUAGCCAGAGCCUGAAUUUCUAAGAGCUCCUGGGUAAUGCUGCUGUUUCUGCUCUGAUAACCUGCUUUUUGUUAGCUUAAACUGACUCUCUCUCUUAGCUGAGAGCUGUUCAGGCUUCUUGUUAGCUUCUUGAGCUGGAAAGACUCCAUCUUAGCUUCUUCAGUUUAGUUAUUCCCCUCAUUAAGUAUGUAACUGUAGUAUGUAGCUGGGGCAGGAUGACACUGGGCACACCCAGGAGUGCAUUUGCUGAUAAGAGGCCGAGUUAGGCGGCACCAACAGAGCCUGGGAAUGCAGGUGCUAUUGAAUACCCAGAGCCCCCAUAUCUGUAAGUUGUAUGUCUUUUUUAUGACAUCUUUAGCCCUUGCCCCGGUACUGUUUUAUUUCUCAUGUACUAGUUUACCUUUUAACUUUUUGCUUACUCUGCUUCUAUGAAAAACUUGCCUUCAGUUAGGUUCCCCCCUCCCUUUUCAAAUUGGGGUAUAAGAAACCCCGACUCUUCGGGGCCGAGAGAAUUUUGGGCGUUAGCCACCUCUCGGUCACUGGCUAAAAUAAAGGACUCAUAAUUCAAUCUCAGAGUAUGGCGCAUUCCUUGACUUACUAGGGUAUAACACUGCUACUGGCCCUCAAAUCAUACGCUGAGUGAGAAUCCAGAGAGUACAAGCACACUAAGGAACAUACAACGUAAUUCUGCAAGUGGCUCUUGAAAUGUACCCACCCACUAUAGUAGAUUUGUGUUCAUCUUCCCAGCAGAGGCUGAGCUACUCCUAACACUCAGAAAAUAACUCCUGCACUCAGAGAAUAACCACUCCCUUGUAAGCUCUCUGAAUUGUGGCUGGGAGUUGCUGGUUCGCCAGUCAGGGAACAGUUCCAGGGCAUUUUGCAUCCCUCUUGAUCCAAGAGACACUGUGCCUCAGGGCCAGAGUGCCACUCAUCUCCAAACUCCAAGCAUCUAACCUUUGAUGCCAUUCUUUUUUUGUUUUGAGACAGAAUUUUGCUUUUGUCCCCCAGGCUGGAGUGCAAUAGCGCCAUCUUGGCUCACUGCAAUCUCUGCCUCCCAGGUUCAAGCAAUUCUCCAGCCUCAGCCUCCCAAGUUGCUGGAAUUACAAGUUCCCCAGCUAAUUUUUAUGUUUUUAGUUGAGAUGGCAUUUCACCACAUUGGCCAGGCUGGUCUUGAACUCCUGACCUCAAGUGAUCUGCCCGCUUCAGCCUCCCAAAGUGCUGGGAUUACAGGUGUGAGCCACCGUGCCCUGCCCCCUUUGAUGCCAUUCUUACUGCUCUUCCUCUCCACUUUAUUUUUUCCUCUUCUUUUCCUUUCUAUCCUUUUCUUUUCUGGUAGAGAUGGGGUCUUGCUAUGUUGCCCAGACUGGUCUCAAACUCCUGGGAUCAAGCAGUCCUCCUGCCCCAGUCUCCCAAGUAGCUGGGACCAUAGGCACGUGCCACCACAUGUGGCUAAUUUUUUUUUUUUUCUUGAGACGGAGUUUCACUCUUUUUACCCGGUUGCUGGAGUGCAAUGGCGUGAUUUCGGCUCACCGCAACCUCCGUCUCCUGGGUUCAAGCAAUUCUCCUGCCUCAGCCUCCCGAGUAGCUGGGACUACAGGCAUGCACCACCAUGCCCAGCUAAAUUGUAUUUUUAGUAGAGACGGGGUUUUGCCAUGUUGACCAGGAUGGUCUUGAUCUCUUGACCUUGUGAUCCACCAGUCUUGGCCUCCCAAAGUGCUGGGAUUAUAAGCAUGAGCUACCGCGCCCAGCUAAUUUUUUUUUUAAUUUGUUGUAGAGAUGGGGUCUUGCUAUGUUGCCUGGGCUGUUCUCAAACUCCUGGCCUCAAGCAGUUGUCCCACUCUGGCCUCCCACAGUGCUGGGAUUACAAGCUUCAGCCACCAUGCCCAGUACCUUCCAUACUUUUCUCCCUCACUCUGUCCUGUUGGUGUCUCACACUGCUAACUAGCCUUAAGACAGAAUUGAAAAACAGUUUUAACUAUAUUUUUUGAAUAAAGUUUCAUUUUCCUACCCUUCUUCUCACUCCAUCUGGCAGAAGAAGAGAGUGCUUUCUGCUAAAAGAAGGAAACUUCCACUGAGUUUUCUUUUGUAUAAUGUUCACCUUGUGGGAGUGUAGUGUGGCCCUCCAGCACAUAAACAGAUGCAUGAACCCCCUCAGGAGAGGGGCAGGACAAGCAGGGGCAAGGAAGGGGGCCAAGUGCAGAAAAAACACUUUGUAAAAGCUUACCUACAGAGGCCGUAAAAUCUGCAUGGAAUUCUAUAGUUUUCAAGUAAGGAAAAGGGGGCCAAUUCCUGCUGGAAAGGGAAGGGGGCCUCUUUCUGCCGUUCUCCUGGGGCGCCAACGCCACCCAGUGGCCAUUUAGAAAACUGCCACUUCAGAUCCAUCCUGCAAAGGGAAUCUGAGUAAUCUGAAAGAUCCUAACUUUCAGCCCUAAGACGGUAUCGCUAUGCCCAGGAGCUACCACAGGCUGGGUCAGCAACUGGUGACCCCUUUCUCUCCAUGGACUCCUUGGCUUCCCUUAGCCUGCCCACCCUGCUCUCGGGUUCCGUCUCCAUCUAGAGCUCCAUGCAGCCUGUGGAAGCCUCAGUACUCCUCUCUCCCUCCUGUCCCAUAGCACAAAGUCUGUGGGAGUCUGAAAGGAACGCAGGCAUGUACAACCCUUCUUCGGCACUUAAAUGAAUUUAACAUGCAGAAACGGGUCCCAUAGACAGCCUCGUUAGGGAGAAACACUGCACUGCUUUAAUACCUUCUUAGAGGGUCCCAGUAAAUCAGUUCCAAACCCAGUGUUUCCCAAACUUACUCAACUCACUAAAUUCUGGCCAGGCACAGAGGUGCAUGCCUGUAACCCCAGCAUUUUGGGAAGCCAAGACAGGAGGAUUAUUUUAGCUCAGGAGUUUGACACCAGCCUGGGCAACGUGGCGAAAUCCCGUUUCUACAAAAAAUAUAAAAAUUAGCUGGGCAUGGUGGCAUGUGCCUGCAGUCCCAGCUACUCGGGAGGCUGAAGUGGGAGGACUGCUUGAACCCAAAAGGUCGAGGCUGUACUGAGCUGAGAUUGUGUCACUGCACUCCACCCUGGGUGACAAAACAAAAACCAAUAAACCCUUUAUUGAUUCUGAAUAAAUUAAUAAAUGAGGGUGGACAACGCAUGCCCAAAGAACUCCCUUUCUGUUCUGUGCCCUGUGGGACACUCUGGGAACCACUGAUCUAAGUCAGGGGUAAGGAAAGAGAGGAGUGGAGCUGAGAUUUUCCAAAGUCCCUCCCUCUUCCCUCAGUUUUUGGAUCCUGCAGAUAAAAAAAAAGAAGCCCAGGCCAGUCACGGUGGCUCACGUCUGUAAUCCCAACACUUUGGGAGGCCAAGGCAGGAGGAUCACAAGGUCAGGAGUUUGAGACUAGCCUGGCCAACAUGGUGAAACCCUGUCUCUACUAAAAAUACAAAAAUUAGCCCAGCGUGGUGGCGCAUGUCUGUAAUCCCAGCUACUCAGGAGGCUGAGGCAGGAGAAGCGCUUCAACCCAGGUGGCAGAGGUUGCAAUGAGCCAAGAUUGCACCAUUGUACUCCAGCCUGGGUGACAAAAGCAAGCCUCCGUCUGAAAACAAAAAAAAGAAAAAAGCCCAUGGUGAUGAGCUGGGGAGAAGAGGAAGUCAGCCUGGGCUGGCCUCAGGCAGUGGCCUGUGAGAGGGCACCAUUACUGGAACAGUGGCAGGUGCUGGAGGGAAUGGUGGCUCUGCUGAGAUGUCACUGUGUGAGGGUAGCAUGUCCCUCAGGAGUCACGGCUGUGGUCAUGGCUUCCAUUUGCCUUCUCAACAGAACUUUCCAUUUGGAUUAAUGAUACAACUUCCAACCAGAAGCCCUGACAGUUUCCUUGGUCUUAAUAAAAUUCUGCCACUCCUUAACCUUUCCUCAGCACACAGAGAACGCCCUAGAACAGCAUGUAGUGUGGAGAAAACAGGCAUGCAAUAAAUGCCUGCUUCUAUAAGGAAGUUAGGAUAGGUAAACACUGGGAGCCACCUGCUAGGUAAGUGCAGAACAAGGAACCAGCCCACCUCCAACCGUUUACAGAUGGCAAGGCAAAGUAACUCCUGUAAAGGCUCUUUCCCCUCACUGCCCAUGACUUAGAUCAGACAGGGAACCAGCUGGGGACAAAUGGCAUUCCUUGUCCAGAGGACUCUCCCUGCCCAAAUAGGCUAAAGCAGAAAACUCCAAAGGGUUCUGAGUAACAGAAUGGCCAUCGCUGGGUGAAUGCAGACCUGGCCCUGUGCUGGCACCCCCACAGGCUUAGCUCCCUGAAUACUCAAGAUAGCCCUAGGGGGAAGGCAUCUUAACAAUCCUGUUUUUACAGAUGGGGCCCCCUGCAGCUCCUAGGUUACAUGAGGAGCCCAAGCCACACAGAGAGAGUGUGAGCACCAGCAGCUGAGCUCAGAGAACCUGGCUCUAAAACACACCUUCCAGACAGCAAGCAGAUGGGCUGCCUGGUGAGUGGAGGGAAGGAAAACCAAGUCCCGCUACAAACCAGACUCCUCCCUUUUGCCCAACCACUCCAAGUUCUCAAGGUUGUCCGCUGAUGCCAACUGCAGACCACGGUCCACCUCGGCAGCCUCCCAGGUGCAAGGAGGCACCUUUCUCCUAGGUCAGAUCCAGGAGCUCAGGGAGCUCCCAAUAUCAGGAAAUGUGGUCGGAAGCAGAAAAGUCCCCAUUCCAGGUGCAAGUCACCUUGGUAUCUUCCCUGGUUCUGUGCUGACUCAGGACACCAGAAUAGGGAGAGUCCUUGGAUGGCAGCUUGGUCACAGAAAAGAAAAUGGAGGCCCAGGCAGAGAAUUGGCUCACCAAGGUCACACCGAGAGUUAAGGGCAAAGUCAGGGCAAAUACCCAGAUGUCACACUUUGGGAGGCCGAGGCAGGUAGAUCACGAGGUCAAGAGAUUGAGACCAUCCUGGUCAACAUGGUGAAACCCCGUCUCUACUAAAAAUACAAAAAAUUAGCUGGGCAUGGUGGCGCAUGCCUGUAAUCCCAGCUACUCAGGAGGCUGAGGCAGGAGAAUUGCCUGAACCCAGGAGGCGGAGGUUGCGGUAAGCCGAGAUCGCACCAUUGCACUCCAGCCUGGGUAACAAGAGCGAAACUCCGUCUCAAAAAAAAAAUACCCAGAUGUCCCAGCCUUUAGCACAGGUUGCUUUCCUUAACUGUAACUAACAUUCACUGAAUACUGAUUGUGUACUAUGCUUUAUAUUAACAAUCACAUUUAAUAAGCUCAGGAGUUCAAGACCAGCCUGGCCAGCAUUGUGAAACCCCAUUUCCAUUAAUACCAAAAAAAAAAAAAAAAAAAAAAAUUAGCUGGUCAUGGUGGUGCAUGCCUGUAGUCCCAGCUAACUGUGAGGCUGAGGCAGGAGAAUGGCUUGAACUCGGGAGGCGGAGGCUGCAGUGACCUGAGAUCAUGCCAUUACACUCCAAUGUGGGCAACAGAGCAAGACUCCAUCUCAAAAAAUACAACAACUUAAAAUUUGACCUUAGGCCAGGCGUGGUGGCUCACACCUGUAAUCCUAGCACUUUGGGAGGCUGAGGUGGGCAGAUCGCGACGUCAGGAGUUCAAGAUCAGCCUGGCCAAAAUGGUGAAACUCGGUCUACUAAAAAAAUACAAAAUUAGCUGGGCAUAAUGGCGGGCACCUAUAAUCCCAGCUACUCGGGAGGCUGAGGCAGGAGAAUCAUUUGAGCCCGGUAGGUGGAGGUUGCAGUGAGCCAAGAUCACACCAGUGCACUCCAGGCUGGGCGACAGUGCAAGACUAUGUCUCAAAGAAAAAAAAAUAAAUCUGACCUUACAGUCCAUUCAUUUGGCCACUGGGCCAUACAGCCGGGGGAUGGGCCACAUGGCAGGGUGUGUACCAUACAGCUAGGGUGUGUAUCAUACAGCUGGGGUAUGGACCACUCAGCAUGGGUAUGUACCGUACAGCUGAGGUGUGUGCCAUGCAGCCAUGCUGUCAUAUAGCCAGGGUACACACCACACAGCGGGGUAUGCAUACACACCAUUCAGCAUAGGGUCCUAAAUGUUUUCUUCUUUAGAAUCUUAAAAAUUACUGAGGAAGCCAGGUACAGUGGUUCACACCUAUAAUCCUAGCACUUUGGGAAGCCAAGGUGGGAGACUACUUGAGGCCCAGAGUUUAGGACCAGCCUAGGGAACAUAGGGAAACCCAUCUCUACAAAAAAUUUAGAAAUUAGCUGGUCAUGGUGGUAUGCACCUGUAGUCCCAGCUACUAAGGAGGCUGACAUGGGAGGAUUGCUUGCGCCUGGGCGGUCGAGGCUGCAGUGAGCUAUGAGCUAUGAUUGUGUCACUACUCUCCAGCCUGGGCAACCAAGCGAGACCCUGUCUCAAAAAAAAAAAUUACUAAAGAGUAUACAUAUCUUUCAACAUACAGAAGGUACCAUGAUGCCACUGCUACAAGGACUUUUCCUGUCACCCCUUUAUAAGCACAGCCCCUUCCCCUGACUAACCUUUGGCAACUACUUGUCUGUUCUCCAUCCUCAUAAUUCUGUUAUUUCCAGAAUGUCAUGUAAGCAGAAUUGCACAGAAUGCAACCUUCUGUGCAUGCUGCUUUCUCACUCAGCAUCAUAUCCUUGAGAUGCAUCCAGGCUGCUGCGCACAUCAACAGUUCAUGCCUUCUGAUUGCUGAGCAGCACUCAAUGGUACGUUUGUACCAGUGUUUCACCAUUCACCCGCUGAAGAACAUUUCACUUGUUCUAGUUUUGAGCUACUAAGAAUAAAAGUUGUGAUGACACUCACGUACAAGUUUUUGUAUGAAUGUUAAGUUUUCACUUCUUUGGGGAUAAAUUAUUAAAUGACAGCUGGUGGGUCAUAUGAUAAACACAUGUCUAGCUUUAUAAGAAACUCCCAGUCCACUGUAAAUGGUUGAAUUGUACAGCAUAUGAAUUAUGUCCCAAUAAGGCUGUUUAAAAAAGAAGGAAUGAACUAUUUUCUAGCAUGAUUGGAUCAUUCUACAUUCCCACCAGCAAUAUAUGCAUGACCUAUUUUCUUUGUAUCCUUGUCACCACGUACCUGACUAACAUGGUGAAACCCUGUCUCUACUAAAAAUACAACAAAAUUAGCUGAGCAUGGGAGUGCAUAUCUGUCCCAGCUACUCAGGAGGCUGAGGCAGGAGAAUCGCUUCAACCCAGGAGGUGGAGGUUGCAGUGAGCCAAGAGUGCACCACUGCACUGCAGCUUGGAUAACAGAGCAAGACUCCAUCUCAAAAAACAAAACAAAACAAAAAAAAACCUAAAAUAAGCUCCAUGUCCAAAAGUAGAGGAAUGGUUAGCUAUAGAUAGUCCAUGAGGCAAAAGAAGUAUUACAUUGCUAUUAAAAUCUUCAAGCAUAAGGUUUUAUGCUUGGGUAAAAGUUCGUGCUAUAAUGUUAACUAAAACGAGCAUGCACAGAACUCAGUGUUCACUAAAGAGCACAAGCAGGCAAUAAAACAAGCAUAUAAAAAGACUUGCGGAAAUAUAUAAAAAGAGCUACUACAGAGGGAUUAUGGGUCAAUUUUCUCCCCUUUUCUUGUUCUCUAAACUUUGUAAUGUUAUUUUUACAACUAAAAGUUUUUUACAUUCAAAAGAACAUAUGAAGAAAUUUUAAGGAGGCAGGUCACAGAGCAGAUGAGGCCCAGGACCUCACACUAGCUGGACUCUCCCAGGAUGUAGCAUGGCCAAGCCAAAACCCACCUGUGACAAUCCUGCAAGUCACUUCCUUCUGGACAAUGCCAAUGUCUCCCCACUCAAGUCAGUCAAGGCUAGUCAGCAAGGGGCAAACUCCAAAAUUGUGGUUUCCUUGCUCUUUUUGUGUGUGUGUGAGGCAGGGUCUUGCCCUAUCACCCAGGCUGGAGCACAGUGGCCCAUUCAUGGCUCAAGGCAGUCCCAAAUAUGUGAGCUCAAGCAAUCCUCAGCCUCCUAGACUAUAGGAGUGCACCACCACGCCUGGCUAAUUUUUGUGUUUUUUGUAGGGAUAGGGGUCUCCCUAUGUUGCCCAUGCUGGUCUUGCACACCUGGCCUCAAACGAUCCUUCCAGCUCAGCCUCCCAAAGCUCUGGGAUUACAGGUGUGAGCCACCACACCCAGACACUGGUUUCCAGACCAUUUUCUAUGAGGAGAAACCUGGCCAAGUGGGGUGUCCCCACAAACUUGGAGGGACUCUGGGAUUCCAUUGUGGCUGCUCCCUACUUCCAGACAACUUGCUAUUUGUUGUUGUUGUUGUUAUUAUUAUUGAGAUGGAGUAUUAUUGAGAGAGCUCUACUGCCAGGCUGGAGUGCAGAGGCGUAAUCUCAGCUCAUUACAACCUCCACCUCCCAGGUUCAAGUGAUUCUCCUGCCUCUGCCUCCUGAGUAGCUGGGAUUACAGGCACGUGCCUCCAUACCCGGCUAAUUUUUUUAUUUUAGUAGAUAUGGGGUUUCACCAUGUUGGCCAGGAUGGUCUCGAUCUCUCGACCUCAUGAUCUGCCCACCUCGGCCUCCCAAAGUGCUGGGACUACAGGUAUGAGACACGGCACCCAGCCCUUUUUUUUUUUUUUUUAAAUUUGAGAUGGAGUCUUGCUCUGUUGCCAGGCUGGAGUUCAGUGGCAAGAUCUUGGCUCACUACCAUCUCCACCUCCCAGGUUCAAGUGAUUCUCCUGCCUCAGCCUCCUGAGUAACUGGGAUUAUAGGUACACGCCACCACACCCAGCUAAUUUUUGUACAUUUAGUAGAGACUGGGUUUUCACCAUGUUGGCCAGGCUGGAUUUGAACUCCUGACCUCAGGUGAUCCACCCUCCUCAUCCUCCCAAAGUGCUGGGAUUACAGGCAUAAGCCACCGCGCCUGGCCAGAGACAACUUGUUUUUAAAACAAUGGCAUCCUUCCUACAAAUUCUCACUGGGCUUUGGCACCUGCUAGCCUCUCCAGUAGUUGGGCACAGAUAAGAUGAGCAAGGGCUGGAGCUGGCCCUAAGCUGGAAGUCAACAGGCUGCCAGCUGAACAUGGUCUGCUAAAGUGACAAAUGACAGAGCAGCAGGAGGCUCACCUCAUCCAUGCCAGAGGCAGUGAAGAAGAUCCCAACCUCCUCGGCGUACUUCUGCAGCUCCCUGUACUGGUCAUGGCUGAACUCCAGAUGUCGUUUGUGCUCCCCAUAUGUCUUCCCCCAGGAAUGCUUUGAGGUGUACGGCCUCGCCAAGGCUUUCCGAUUAAACUUGAAUUCCAGCUCACUCUUCUGGAACUUGGCACAAUCAGCCCCACACUCCUAUAAUACAUAUUAGGAUGCCUUUCAGUGACUGUCACAGAUCUCAAAAAAAGAAAAAAUUCUGGGGUAACCACUAUGACAUCACCAUCUUUAUUAUUUAUUUAUUUAUUUAUUUUGAGACAGAGUUUUGCUCUUUCACCCAGGCUGGAGUUCAGUGGUGCGAUCUCGGCUCACUGCAACCACUGCCUCCUAGGUUCAAGCCAUUCUCCUGCCUCAGCCUCCCAAGUAGCUGGGAUUACAGGUGCCUGCCACAACACCCAACUAAUUUUUAUUUUUAGUAGAGACCGGGUUUCGCCAUGUUGGCCAGGCUGGUCUUGAACUCUUGACCUCAGGUGAUCCACCCAUCUUGGCUUCCCAAAACUGGGAUUACAGGUGUGAGGCGCCAGGCCUGACCCACAUCACCAACUUUAAAAACAACAUAGACUGACAGAGACCUUAAGGACCUCCGAACAAGAGGAACACAAAAGGCAAGAAUGUCUGAAAGGAAGAAAAGGUUGUUUGGAGAUGGGAGAUCUGCCCCUAUUUUUUUCUCUUAACAUGCCAAAAAAAGGAAGAGGGCUUUAUUUCCUUUGUUUUGCAUUGUAAAUAUGAAAAAUACUGGAUCAGAGAGUUAAGGAAGAUUUUAAGAUGCUGAUAUAACUCAGCAAAGGAUAGUAAAAUGAGCAGUGAACCAGAAUUUAGUAAAGAAAGAUUCUGGUUUACCUUUGACCCUAACUCUUAGAUAAGUCACAUUCCAGCUCUAGACUCAGUUUCUCCAUCUAUAUAAAGAGCAGGUUGGGCUACCUCCAAGACGUGUAAACUGUUCUGAGGCCUUCUCAGGGACAGGGAAACUCAGGGACAGUACCUCUUUCUCUGACUUCAACAACAGCAGCUCUGCUUUUAGCUGCUUUGUACUGACACUUUUCUGCAUGACAUUUUCUUUGAACAGGUUAAGUGGCAAAAAGUAAACAAAACAGAAAUGCCCCAGCCCCUAGGUGACCUCUAACGAGCAGAGGCAGUAAUAUAAAAGCUGGAUUGUCUGACUAUAAAAGCUAUAACUAAAACAAAACAAAACCACUCAAGAGGUCAGGCACAGUGGCCCACGCCUAUAAUCCAAACACUUUGGGAGGCCAAGGUGGGAGGAUUCCUUGAACCCAGGAGUUCAAGACCAGCCUGGGCAACAUAGUAAGGCCCUGUCUCUACAAAAAAUACUAAGAGUAGCCAGGCAUGCAUGGUGGCAUAUGCCUGUAGUUCCAGCUACUAAGGAGGCUGAGGCGGGACUGUUUGAUCCUCAGAGAUCAAGGCUGUAGUGAGCUAUGACGGUGCCACUGCACUCCAGCCUGAAUGCAGAGUGGUGAGACUGUCUCAAAAAAAAAAAAAAAAAGAAACCUACUCAAGAAAAAGAGUAAUUAAAGCCCACUAAAGUCUCAUCUCACUGCCAUUUCUGUAGACACAGAGGUAUUCAUGCUAUUAAAAACUUCUUGGGUCUAGAAAUGUCAGUGUUGAGAUCACUACUCCGCUCUUGGACAAGUCAUAAGAUGGUAGGGUCAGGACUUGAUGCUGGAAAGUUCAAAGAACAUUAGAACCGAAAGUGACCUCAGGCAACAGAGUUCUCAUUGUCUCAUGUGUAAAUGAAGAUUCCCAAGUCUAGAUUAAGAUCUCAUGUCUAGAUAAAGAUCCCAAGGCCCAGACUCACUUAACAUUGCACAGUGUCUGUAGCAGAGGUGGCCAGAUCCCUUUCCCAAAGGUUGCAGCCACCUGGAUCCCAGCUCAAUGGAAUUAGAAACAGGGUCUCACUAUGUUGCUCAGGCUGGUCUGGAACUCCUGAGCUCAAGCAAUCUGCCUUCUUCAGCCUCUCAAAGUGCUAGGAUUAUAAGAAUCAGCCACUGCACCUGGCCAGUAUAGCUUUGUUUCUAUGGCUUCAAUAUCUCUAGAUAUUUUCACAACUUCAGCAUUGUAAGAGGAAAAAUAGGCUGCUCCUUCAAAUUAAGAGCAGGAAUUUCCCCCUAGAAAACAAUGAAUGUUGCAGAAGAAAGGCUGGAGCCCCGUGGCUUAGGAGCAAAAACUGAAAAAUCCCUUACUGUAUUUAUUAUACUAGCUGUGUGCUGUUGGCUAAGUCACUUAUUUUCUCUUAGCCUUUAAAAUAAAAUUGGCAGUAUCAAGGCACUGGGUUGUUGUAAAAAUUAAACGAGAUGGUGCAUGUACAGCAUUUAGCUUAGUAUCUGGUAGAGUAAGCACUCAAAAGAUGUUAGCAAUGUUACUUUCGUAAAGUAUUUUUAUGACUCAGUGGUUAGCUUUCCAUAAAAUCAGUCCUGAAACAGUAAGGGCUGAAUGCGGUGGCUCACGCCUGUAAUCCCAGCACUUUGGGAGGCCUAAGCAGGCAGAUUGUUUGAGUUCAGGAGUUUGAGACCAGCCUGGGCAACAUGGCCAAACCCCAUCUCUACAAAAAAUUAGCCCAAUAUGGUGGUGCACACCUGUGGGUCCCAGCUACUUGGAGGGUGAGGUAGGAGAAUCACUUAAGCCUGGAAGGCAGAGGUUGCAGUGAGGUGAGAUCACGACACUGCACUCCAGUCUGGGCAAUACAGAGAGACCUUGUCUCAAAAAAGAACAGAACAAAAGAACAGUAUGAUAAAAUCUCCAACCUGGGUGAUAGGGCAAGACCCUGUCUCUAAGAUAGACACAUAAAUAAACAAACAUUUUAAAAACCUAAUCACAAAUGACACAAAAUCAGUUGAGCAACACGGAUGAAGGGAAAGGAAAGAUGGGGUUAGCUAUCUCUAAACCAAAGAAUCAUAAUGUAGGCCAGGCCUUAAGGUGGGGGCUGGGGUUGUAAUGAAGAAUAUGGUAGGCCCAAGAGAAGAGGGAGCACGGAGAGCUAUAAAUAUCCUAUCACUAACAGCUUACAUUAGGCCGGGCGCAGUGGCUCACGCCUGUAAUCCCAGCACUUUGGGAGGCCAAGGCGGGGGGAUCACCUGAGGUCGUGAGUUUGAGACCAGCCCGACCAACAUGGCGAAACCCCAACUCUACUAAAAAUACAAAAUUAGCUAGGCGUGGUGGCGCAUGCCUGUAAUUCCAACUACUUGGGAGGCUGAGGCAGGGGAAUCGCUUGAACCGGGGAGGCAGAGGUUGCAGUGAGCCAAGAUCGUACAAUUAUGGACUCCUAUGUGCCAAGUGCUGGGCUCAGAGCUCUAUCUGAGAAUCUCAUUUGAUCCCCAUAACAAUUCCAUGAGGAAACAGGUUCACAGAGGCUAAGUAACCAGCCCACAUACACACAGCUAGUAGUGGUGGAGUCAAGAUUCGAUCUCAUAGCCCCGGCUUUUAACCACUUCAUAUUCCACAUACAGGGAAUGGCGGGGGAGAGACCACAACAACAUCCAGUAACUGUUAUUCCUGAAAGUAACUCUGUGCCGCUGAAGAAUGUCAGAGAUUAAUUAUAAUGGGCUUUUAGGGGCCCAGUCAUUAAGAUCUUGAAGGCUGUGUUAAAGGAUUUCGACUCGGCCGGGUGCUGUGGCUCACACCUAUAAUCCCAGAACUUUGGGAGGCCGAGGCGGGUGGAUCACGAGGUCAAGAGAUCGAGACCAUCCUGGUCAACAUGGUGAAACCCCGUCUCUACCUAAAAAUACAAAAAUUAGCUGGGCAUGGUGGCGCACGCCUGUAAGUCCCAGCUACUCGGAAGGCUGAGGCAGGAGAAUUGCUUGAAUCCAGGAGGCAGAGGUUGCAGUGAGCGGAGAUCGCGCCAUUGCACUCCAGCCUGGGUAACAAGAGCAAAACUCCGUCUCAAAAAAAAAAAAAAGGAUUUCGACUCUACCGUGGGCAGGAGGGAACCACAGAAGGUAACAGACAGAGGGUAUGGUCUGAUCAAGUCUGGGUUUUAGAAAGAGUAUUCUGGCAGAACGGGGAGGAAAGAGGGCGGGUUAGGAGGCAGCAGCUGUAAUGCAGAAAGAUCAGAAGGAAGGCUGACCGGGUGAAGAAGAGAUAUCCGAAAACGAAACUGGCGGGCGGGAGGAGGCCUGACCAGAGAACCGAGCCGCCGAGGACGUGGGCCCUGGCUCUCCGUGGCCCCACCCCGCCCCGCUCGGGUCCGGGAACUCGAGCCUCACCUUGGCCACGCGGAUCAUGCGUUUGGCCACGUCCAGGUCGCCCUGGUGGUUCUGGCCUAUCUCGGCAAUGAUGAAGCACGGGUGUUGCCCGCCCACCCAGCGCCCGGGACACAGCUCCAGUUCCAGCGGCAUCGCGGCGGCUUGCGCUCCGGCACCUUACUACCAGUCUGGGUCCGGCCGCCGCCGCCGCCGCCUCGGUGGGUUUGGUGAGCAGCCCGGCGAGACGCACACGCCUGCCCCGUCACGUCAGCCCGCGGCCGCCGAGCAGCCAAUCCCCCGCAUCCCGCCUCGCUUCCGACAGCCAAUCGGGGCGGGGGACGGAGCGGAGCCUCCCGCGAGGCAGGGCAGGGAGGAACAAGGAAGCUGUACGCCCCUCUCCGGCGCUAGGUUUGAGGCUCACUGCCCCAGACUGUGGGCUCGGUGCGUGCAUCCGGGAGCAAGCAUUCCCUGAAGAGACUACUCGUUGAGGCCGUCCCUCCCCACCUUGAGUGGACCAAAGAUGAUAGGGAGCAAAAGAAGAAAGUUUGAGCCUUGCCAGGUUGAUAUUGGAAGCCAAAUGAGGUACAGAGAUCCAGACUGCCUUGCAAAGGAGACAACAGCUUUGGAAGAGUAUGGUUGAGACAGUUGGGUCAAGAUGAUCCCACAGCUUCCCAAUCUGGAUUCAGAAUAAACCAGAGAUCCUAAUCCAAGGAGAAAAGGCCGUAAUUUCUUCUUAUAUCUCAAAUCCUCCUAGGGCUGCUGUCUAAUAAAGAAAAGUUAGGCAGACACUUGUUCAUUUGUGCAUACAUCUUCAUCUAUUUGAUCUAAGAGUUAACUGGUCUUCUGCUUGAAGAUGGACAAUUUAACUUUUGGGGCCAAAUUCACUCCUCUUCUUCCCUCAGCCUCCAAUUAAACUUGCCUUUUCUCUCAGCCUCCAAUUAAACUUGCCUUUUCUCAAACACAAGUUUAAGUAAAACAUUUAAAAAUUAAAAACAGGCCGGGCGCGGUGGCUCAAGCCUGUAAUCCCAGCACUUUGGGAGGCCGAGACGGGUGGAUCACGAGGUCGAGAGAUUGAGACCAUCCUGGUCAACAUGGUGAAACCCGGUCUCUACUAAAAAUAAAAAAAAUUAGCUGGGCAUGGUGGCGCGUGCCUGUAAUCCCAGCUACUCGGGAGGCUGAGGCAGGAGAAUUGCCUGAACCCAGGGGGCGGAGGUUGCGGUGAGCCGAGAUCGCGCCAUUGCACUCCAGCCUGGGUGACAAGAGCGAAACUCCAUCUCAAAAAAAAAAAAAAGAAAAACAAAAAUCCGUACUAUCUCCUACUUAACUCUUGUAUUUGUUUUCUAUGGUUACCAGCAAAACAGUAGUUUCCUACUGCCUUUUCAUUGAAAAUUUGAACUAUAUUGUGGCCAAAUACCUUUUCAAAUCUACUUGGAGGAUAUAACAAUAAUGUAUAACACUUUCUAUGAAAGACAAAAUACAUUUUAAGUUCUAAAUGGCAAAUUCCUAAAUGUGAGUCCUUCUUUGUGAGUCUAGGUCAAGGGAAUGACCCUGGAGAUUGGAGCUGGGAGCCACAGGAUAUGGAAACAUUUUUUUUCCUUUCAUACUCUCCAGUUUGCUCAUUUGCCACUCCCCUAGCUACUACGAAAAAAGAUCAACUACCUAACUGGUGGGGUGAUGCUCUCCAAUUAUACCAGUUGUUUCUACCAUAAAAGAAGGGAAAAAAAAGUAUGGAGGAAUUAAAGAUCAUUCUGAGUUGUCAAUUCUUUUAAUUAGAAUAAUACUGAUUAUUAUAGUAAAUGAAAUAAUCCAAAAAUAUAGAAAGUAACUCCUGCCAUCCUUGCAAAUUCCAUCCUUCCGAGUUAACCAGUGUUCAUAUAUCGUCUACCGGUUAUUUUAAAAGAAUAUUUUCAAAAUAAGAACAGUUUUUUAAAAAUUAUAUUUAUUUUUGAGUAACAGUCUUGCUCUUUCACCUGUGCUAGAGAGUAAAGUGGAGCUUGGCUUACUACAACCUCUGCCCCACUCCCACAUCAUUCAAGCAAAUCUGCCUUAGCCUCCUAAGUAGCUGGGAUUACAGGCACCUGGCACCACUCCCUGGCUAAUUUUUGUAUUUUUAAUAGAGAUGGUUUUUCACCAUGUUGACCAGGCUGGUCUCAAACUCCUGGCCUCAGGUAAUCCACCCUCCUCAGCUUCCCAAAGUGCCAGGAUUACAGGCAUGAGCCACUGUGCCCAGCCUAGAACAGGCUUAUACUAGUGGUUCUCAAAUGUGUUUAGGUAGCAGAACUGUUGAAAUCAAAGGAAACACCCAUAUUCUACUGGUGGUUAUGUAAAGAGGGGAACCAUUCUGAGAAGCAAUUUGGGGGGUGGGAGGAUGGGGAUCAUAUUAUAAGAUAUUCAUUUUAGCAGUAUUUAAAACAGCCAAAAUCCCUGUGAACGACCUGGAUGUUUAAAUUAUUAUCUAUGCAGACAAGUCUAUAAAGUCUACAAAAUAAAGACACACAUAAAGAUGUUUACUGUAUUUUUUCUAUCAAAAAAAGCAACAAGCUAGCAUUCGGAUUAUUUGCAUGAACCAAGUUUGGACAAAAAUUAAACAUUCUGGUAGACUAUACACUAGUGUCUAGAUGGUAGGUAAGGCAUGUAUGAUGUCUAGCUCCUUUUUGCUUAUCUACAUCUACAAUAUUUUUGAUCUACCUAUAUCUAGUUUUCUUCAACAAAGAUGUAUUACUUAUACAAGGAAAAAAACCGCAUUAGUUGCUAUGCAACCAAUUAGAAUAUCUGAUUCAGCUCAAACAUCACGGUAGACACAACAAAAGAGGUCAAAAGCUGGGGGGGGGGGGGCGUGGAUCAAAAUAAGAUGAAAGUUAAAGACAAUCUACAUUUUUUCCCAGUAAACUGGGACUACGUUAAGACUGCUUUUAUUUUGGUACAUGAAAUGUCAACAGUCCAGCAUACAGCACACCAGCAUUUCGCAGGGGCAUAGAUUGCAAGCUACAGUAAGGAACUGCUUGGCUUUCUAACUUUGAAUGAAAAACUCAGAGCUGAUAGGAAGGCUGAUUGUCCCCAGAUGUAUGGUUAAUGGGGUGCUUCCAACAGAGCACACCGUCAGUUUAAUGGAAGGAUAAGAAUCCCACAUAAAGAAAAGGUAUUCUUUUCUAAUUCUGGAAUACAACUAAAUGUGGUUUAUAUCUUGCUACUCCAUGUCUGUGUCUUCUCAUCUUACUGACAAGACCUCCAGUUUCCAUGGUGUAUAUGUGGUAUAUUCCAGCACGGUUUAAUUUACUCUCAGUGAACUGACAAUAUUUUAUAUAAAAUACUUCCUUGUCAAACAAA